This is a long non-coding RNA of Triticum dicoccoides, 188 nucleotides long. RefSeq lists it as uncharacterized. NCBI's taxonomy places the organism in Eukaryota, Viridiplantae, Streptophyta, Magnoliopsida, Poales, Poaceae. The record is from RefSeq and is a predicted model, not a curated record. The transcript has 3 exons.
GAACAGGAUCUCCAGCGGGCUCGUUCUCAGGGACUCUUUGUUGGAGGAGCUCCAGGUGGAAACUCCAGCCCUGGUGCUGCUUGUUAGAUGUCGAGUACAGCAGGUGGCUGGACGACGACAGCAGGCGCAUGACUCCGGGGAGGCCUGCACGCGCACUUGCCGGAUGUUGAACUCAGGGCCAUCAUCGA